This 253-nucleotide ribosomal RNA is filed under the name uncultured bacterium. RNAcentral describes it as "partial 16S ribosomal RNA". It matches the Rfam family "Bacterial small subunit ribosomal RNA", at positions 524 to 776 of the family's 1533-position model. The record is from RNAcentral.
GACGAACCGUGCGAACGUUGUUCGGAAUCACUGGGCUUAAAGGGCGCGUAGGCGGGCCGCCAAGUCAGGGGUGAAAUCCUCCGGCUCAACCGGAGAACAGCUUUUGAUACUGGCGGCCUCGAGGGGGGUAGGGGCAUGUGGAACUUCCGGUGGAGCGGUGAAAUGCGUUGAUAUCCACAGGAACGCCGGUGGCGAAGGCGGCACGCUGGACCCUCUCUGACGCUGAGGCGCGAAAGCCAGGGGAGCAAACGGG